UACAGAGGUCUCAAGCGUUGUUCGGAUUCAUUGGGCGUAAAGGGUGCGUAGGCGGCGCGGUGAGUCGGAUGUGAAAUCUCGGAGCUUAACUCCGAAACUGCAUUCGAUACUGCCGUGCUUGAGGACUGGAGAGGAGACUGGAAUUUACGGUGUAGCGGUGAAAUGCGUAGAUAUCGUAAGGAAGACCAGUGGCGAAGGCGGGUCUCUGGACAGUUCCUGACGCUGAGGAACGAAAGCUAGGGGAGCAAACAGG
Molecule: ribosomal RNA, 253 nt
Filed under: uncultured bacterium
Lineage: Bacteria
Description: partial 16S ribosomal RNA
Rfam family: Bacterial small subunit ribosomal RNA
Source: RNAcentral